Molecule: ribosomal RNA, 253 nt
Filed under: uncultured bacterium
Lineage: Bacteria
Description: partial 16S ribosomal RNA
Rfam family: Bacterial small subunit ribosomal RNA
Source: RNAcentral
UACGUAGGUGGCGAGCGUUGUCCGGAUUUACUGGGCGUAAAGGGCGUGCAGGCGGUUUGUUAAGUGCAGGGUGAAAGCUCCCGGCUCAACUGGGAGAGGUCCUUGCAUACUGGCGAACUCGAGGGAGGCAGAGGAAAGUGGAAUUCCCGGUGUAGUGGUGAUAUGCGUAGAUAUCAGGAGGAACACCGGUGGUGUAGACAGCUUACUGGACCAUUUCUGACGCUGAGACACGAAAGCGUGGGUAGCAAACAGG